UAUUUUUCAGGAGUCUCUACCAUUAGCUAUGUGUUUUUUGCCAGUAAUGAACAAGAGUCUGCGUGCCACACGCAUAGCUAUCUGUACCAGUGGAGGUGACCCACUGUGAGCACUGCUGAAACGCACCAACCAAAGCCUUCCUGCACUCACAUCCACUGUUUGGUCUUCAUAAACAUUCAGCCAGCAUCAAUGCAUGUGCAAUUUCUUUUCUGCGUGGAGGAGUUCAACUACAGACCUUCAGUUACAUCAUGGGCCAACAUAAUAAAGUGCUCUGAGUAUGGAAGAGCCAUUUUGGAGACUGAAUAAGGCCAUUGCUACACAUAGCAAACAAAUGCAUUUCCAAUGCAGUGACAUCACUGUGGAGCUGCAAGAGAGAAACAUCAAAUUCUGAGACUUACUGCAGGUGCUACAGGAACAAGGAAUAAGAAACUUUAUGUCAAGUUUAUGGAAACAGAUGGAGCUGAAAGUUUAUAGCAAACCUGACAGAAGUGAGUGGUCAUGUAGGAUAAACUGAAGAAAUAAUUGUUCCUGGCAAACUCAAGGUAAAAAUGAUUUGCAAACUAUAGUGGAACUGCUAAGUCACAGCCUAAAGCAGUGAUUGAGUACCUGG
This is a long non-coding RNA of Lagopus leucura (white-tailed ptarmigan), 610 nucleotides long. RefSeq lists it as uncharacterized. The transcript has 4 exons. The record is from RefSeq and is a predicted model, not a curated record. Lineage: Eukaryota; Metazoa; Chordata; Aves; Galliformes; Phasianidae.